UACAGAGGUCCCAAGCGUUGUUCGGAUUUACUGGGCGUAAAGGGUGCGUAGGCGGUCGGAUAAGUUUGAUGUGAAAGCUCGGAGCCUAACUCCGAAACGGCAUUGAAUACUAUCUGGCUGGAGGUUGGGAUGGGGGACUGGAAUUCUCGGUGUAGCAGUGAAAUGCGUAGAUAUCGAGAGGAACACCAGUGGCGAAGGCGAGUCCCUGGACCAAUCCUGACGCUGAGGCACGAAAGCCAGGGGAG
This 245-nucleotide ribosomal RNA is filed under the name uncultured bacterium. Its description in RNAcentral is "partial 16S ribosomal RNA". It matches the Rfam family "Bacterial small subunit ribosomal RNA", at positions 524 to 768 of the family's 1533-position model. The record is from RNAcentral.